RNAcentral lists this ribosomal RNA (322 nucleotides) under Sandonidae sp. RNAcentral's name for it is "SSU rRNA". The stretch from base 62 to 322 matches the Rfam family "Eukaryotic small subunit ribosomal RNA", at positions 694 to 955 of the family's 1831-position model. The record is from RNAcentral. Lineage: Eukaryota; Cercozoa; Glissomonadida; Sandonidae.
GAUUUCUGGCUUGAAACAUCUUGUCGGCCGCGGUUUCGCGUGUUAGUGCAAGAUGGUCUGGCCAUCCUUCCAAUCGCUGCUCACCUCUCUUCAUUGAUUGGUGUGUGGUAUUGGAUCUUUUACUUUGAAAAAAUUAGAGUGUUUCAAGCAGGCUUUAUGCUAUGAAUACAUUAGCAUGGAAUAAUAAUUUAGGACUUCGGUUCUAUUUUGUUGGUUUCUAGGACUGAAGUAAUGAUUGAUAGGGAUAGUUGGGGGUGCUAGUAUUCAGCGGCCAGAGGUGAAAUUCUUGGAUUCGCUGAAGACUAACUUAUGCGAAAGCAUU